This 80-nucleotide transfer RNA is filed under the name Mus musculus (house mouse). It matches the Rfam family "tRNA". From Rfam's summary of the family: Transfer RNA (tRNA) molecules are approximately 80 nucleotides in length. Lineage: Eukaryota; Metazoa; Chordata; Mammalia; Rodentia; Muridae. The record is from Rfam by way of RNAcentral.
GGGAAUGUAGCUCAGUGGUUGAGUGCUUGCUUAGCAUGCACAAGGCAAGGCCAUCCUGGGUUCAGUCCCCAGCAUUUCAC